GAUGAAGAACGCAGCGAAAUGCGAUAAGUAAUGUGAAUUGCAGAAUUUAGUGAAUCAUCGAAUCUUUGAACGCACAUUGCGCCCGUCAGUAUUCUGGCGGGCAUGCCUGUUCGAGCGUCAUUACGCCCCUCAAGUCCCCUGUGGACUUGGUGUUGGGGAUCGGCGAGGCUGGUUUUCCAGCACAGCCGUCCCUUAAAUUAAUUGGCGGUCUCGCCGUGGCCCUCCUCUGCGCAGUAGUAAAACACUCGCAACAGGAGCCCGGCGCGGUCCACUGCCGUAAAACCCCCCAACUUUUUAUAGUUGACCUCGAAUCAGGUAGGACUACCCUCUGAACUUAAGCAUAUCAAUAAGCAGAGGA
Molecule: unclassified non-coding RNA, 358 nt
Filed under: soil metagenome
Description: partial contains 5.8S ribosomal RNA, internal transcribed spacer 2, and large subunit ribosomal RNA
Rfam family: 5.8S ribosomal RNA (bases 1-120)
Source: RNAcentral